UGGCGGACGGGUGAGUAACGCGUGGGUAACCUACCUUGUACAGGGGGAUAACAGUUGGAAACGGCUGCUAAUACCGCAUAAGCGCACGGCAUCGCAUGAUGCAGUGUGAAAAACUCCGGUGGUAUAAGAUGGACCCGCGUUGGAUUAGCUAGUUGGUGAGGUAACGGCCCACCAAGGCGACGAUCGGUAGCCGGACUGAGAGGUUGAACGGCCACAUUGGGACUGAGACACGGCCCAG
RNAcentral lists this ribosomal RNA (238 nucleotides) under uncultured bacterium. RNAcentral's name for it is "partial 16S ribosomal RNA". It matches the Rfam family "Bacterial small subunit ribosomal RNA", at positions 96 to 334 of the family's 1533-position model. The record is from RNAcentral.